Long non-coding RNA from Triticum aestivum (bread wheat), 1785 nucleotides. RefSeq lists it as uncharacterized. Lineage: Eukaryota; Viridiplantae; Streptophyta; Magnoliopsida; Poales; Poaceae. The transcript has 3 exons. The record is from RefSeq and is a predicted model, not a curated record.
CCCGCCACCUCCCUCCGGUUCUAGCCAGUGCAACCGACGCCACCCCCACCCCACCAGCUUCUUCCCCCACCGGCGCCGCCACACCCUCAUUCGGCUUCAUCCACCGCCGGUGCCGUCCCACCCGCAUCUGGCUUCCUCGACCGCCGGUGCCGCCGCACCCACAUCCGGCAUCUUCCACCGCCGGCGCCGUCGUGCACCCGGCCGUGCGCCACACGGGAAGGGACCUCCUCAAAUCUCGUGCCUCUAUUCUUGCGUCGCCCCGUGCAUACCUUACAUUCACCGCCGCACUAGGCGCAACCGCCGCACCUCUGCCUCCCUUCCCCAGCCAAGAUCCGCUUCCAUGGCGGCUGGAUCCAUACUUCCACGCGCCGCCACUUCGUCUCUGGAGCUGCAGCUUCCGCUGCUCGGCCACACAAUGGGGAUAUGCCCCUCACGGCAACGACGCCAAUGCAGUUCUCCUCGCGCACCCCCGGACUCCUGCCUCCACUAGAUUGAUACUCCCUCUUGCCGGUGCAUGUCGAUGUCCUCCAUGGGAUUCUCCUCCUCCUCCCUCUUGGCCUCUACAGUACAAACAGCGACACCUUGAACCUAUCCAUGGACGACUGCUGCUUCCACCUCUCGGCCAAAUCCGACGCGUCCAGGCUCCCUUCCCUCUCAUUACUUCGGCAUGUGCAGUUCGUCCGGCGAGUCCGUGCAGUUCGCGGAUGACGGGAUUGCAGCUCCAGGCUCCCCGACUCCCUGUUGCCUCGAUCGAGGGGACGCCUUGGCCUCCUCCUUUCCUCCCCCUCCUCUGCUCCUCUCCCUAUGAUUCUCCACUGACGGCAAGCAGUCCAGGCUGCUCCCUAAUGCAGGUCAUCUGGGUCUUGCUCUCUGAGAGUUUUGUCGCUCCGCUGGAGCAGUCCACACAGCAGGCACACGAGGCCAUCAUCGACUCCCCGUGUAGUACACUUUUGUGAUGUGAGCCCACUGCUCCCCCCAUGCCUUGCCAACGAACCGGCCAUCCUCUUUGCGCCUUGCUAGUGCCCAGUGCAUGAGGAGCCUGGCGCCGGACUCCCUAACCUCCUUCAAGAACAGAUCCGGCCUUCCCCUCGGCCCUUCCCUGACUCUGUGUCAUGGCCGCACUGCACACUGCUGCAUGCGUAGUCCACGCCCUGAUGGCGUGCCCCCAUGCUCCUGUGUGCUGCCCCGACGACGGGUCGUCACCCGUUUCAACAGGUGCGUCGCUCCUCCGCGUGCAGUCCCCAACCGUCGCUACCGUCUGUAUCAAGUAAUCCGCUGAGCUGGAGCUGAAGGUCAAUGGCCGCCCCAUGCAAUCCAUGGUGCUGGCCGUGCUUUCUCCUGCUGCUCUGUGUGAGGUGAGGACGGGUUCUCUGUUGGCAAGUUCAUUGCGAGACUCCAUGGUGCUGGUCGCGCCACUCCUUUUCUUGUUGCUACGUCUGAGGCGAGGACGGGCUCUGCCACACCGGGAACCAGGGUGUUCGCGACACCGGCGAAGACGGCGUGGUGGUUCCCUUCUUUCCCAACAAUAGAAGUUGUCCUGCAGCUAUGUAAUUGUUGAAGUUCAGGAAUAUGUUUGGUGUCUAUUCGGAUUUCGUUUGGGCGCAACACUGUAGUUCGCCCGGGUCUUCACUACGGUGCGGACGGGUGUGCAGUCCACCGACGAGGGUGCUAGCAGUGCGAUGGCGUGAUGCUCACGGUCUUGAAUAAAUUUUUUUGAUGCGAUGGUGCGAUGGCGCAAUUUGUUUCGUGUGUUCUAAAGUUUAGUUGACUACGUCAACACCUGCA